GGGGUGAGGCCGGAUCCUGGGCUGUGUCCCAGCACCCUUUGCUCCCGGCCUGCGCUGUUGGAUUCGCGCUCCCGCCCCGCAGUCCCCU
This 88-nucleotide microRNA precursor is filed under the name Canis lupus familiaris (dog). Its description in RNAcentral is "mir-8799 microRNA precursor family". It matches the Rfam family "mir-8799 microRNA precursor family". Lineage: Eukaryota; Metazoa; Chordata; Mammalia; Carnivora; Canidae. The record is from Rfam by way of RNAcentral. RNAcentral also lists the same sequence under 1 other name.